Non-coding RNA from Podarcis lilfordi (Lilford's wall lizard), 4507 nucleotides. NCBI's taxonomy places the organism in Eukaryota, Metazoa, Chordata, Lepidosauria, Squamata, Lacertidae. The record is from the annotation of a GenBank genome assembly.
GCCAAGGCCUCUGCUGUGAGGCCUCCACCAAGGCCUGCUGUGGCCACAGACACCCCCAGAUGCACAUCCGAGGUGGGCCUCAACAGGGGCCCCAUAGUGAAUACGGAGGCCCUGGCCCAGUCACCACCACAGAUAAAGAGGUAAAGCAUGUGGUGGGCAGAGGUUGGGCCCCCACAGUGAAAAUUUUGUGGGUGACCAGGCCCCCAGCACCCCUUGGAAUUAGUGCCAUUGGGUUUGGACAUAAGUCCCAACUGAUUUCAGCAUAGUAAGCUGUAUUAUACUGAGAAAGACCAUUGGUACAUCUAGCUCAGUAUUUGUCUACUCUGACUGGAAGCAGCUCUGCAGAGUUUCAGCCAGGAGUAUCUCCCCUGGGGUGUAAGGGAUUCAAGAAGGCAUCUUUUUCUGUCCCACCCUGUAUUUGUCACACACAGCACUGGUCCCAUUCCACUGAAGUUCGCCUUCCACAAAACAAUGUCAUUUCUCUCACUGUCCACAGAGGCACACUUUUGUAAGUUUUGUAAUUAAUUACUUAAAUUACCAUUGUUAUGACAUAAUUCUACCCCAUUCAUUUCAAUGGAAACAAUAUGCAAAUAAGGAGGAAAAACAUAAUUACAUAUCAUUUGUGGAUCCACUGGAUCCUGAGUAGUCUCAUUGCUGUUAUAUGACGUAGUCAUUGGCCCAACUAUGGGUCUGAUUGUCCUGUCCCCUGAGCCCCCAAUCAUGGCAUUUAUGAGCAGAAGGGCAUCAGAUCCAGCAGUAGCCUUACCAUUCUACAAAGUCCCACUGAGUGGGGUAGUAGUUUGGAUUAUUUUAUUAUUUUAUUUAUUUCUUUAAAAGCAAAAAGACAUCAUUUUUUAAAAUGAACAGUUGCUAGGGGCAUGGUAGGCAGCCUCCACCCCUUCCCACACUUAUAGGAAAAUCCAGCCAAGGAUGACCUAGGUUUUUCACAAAGUGCAGGCACCUGAGGAGCUAAAGGAAAUGGAGUGACAAUGUGUUGAAUGAGAGCAACAGCAUUCACAAAAACCACCGACCACCUCCAAGGCAAUGUAAGCACAAUAAUAACAACCAACAUCCCACCCUAGAGAAUUUCACCUUUUCCUCUCUCUCCUUCAAUAGUUUUCAAAUGCAAAUUCUUUUCACAUUAUUGAUGGAGAAUAGCUGGGUGUAGGGUGGGGGAGAGAACGUUCUCUUAGUCCUUGGAGUCAUAUGCAGCAUCCUUUAAAUAAUUUUACUGGAAUCAGGAAACCAAAACAUUGCUUUUUAAGCUUACGUGAUAGGAUUUGAGCAACGGUUUCUAAGCAAUUACGGUACUUAUCAUAUUUUUACCAGUUGGAAUUCCAAGUGUGAAUGCACUGGUUUUUAUAGUAAUUUUGCUCAUGGUUGUAAAAUCUUCAAAGUCAGCUCUGAUAUUCCUGUUAUGUUUUCAUAUAUUGUAAAGGCUAUAGAUAUAGAUAUUCCUCUGUUUCUCCCUCACUUGGCACAGAUGGCUUCAUUAUGUAGACAAACAAAGCAAAUAAUCUAUAAAAAGAGAUUGUCUAUAGCAAUAAGUUGGUUUCUUCUAAAUUUUGAUCCUCUUGUUUCCGUAAACAAAAUUGCUUACCACAUUUGUUCAAACCUCCUCCAUUUUGCAAUGGAGGCUUCAGAGUGGUAGCAUAAAUUUCCGAUAGCCUGGAUUGUGAUGCAGUUUACUCUGUUACCUGAUCGUGGAAUAUAAUGGUUAACGAUUAGUUGCCAUUUGUUGUCUUCUUGUAAUUCCCACUCUAGGUAGCAGGUGAAAUGUACCACAAACAGCAUAUUUACAAAUAUUCCAACAGGCAAAUUGUUUUUAUUAAAGAUGUUUGGGUUACAAAAAUUGUCUCUGUUUUCAUAUCAUAAAGGCCUUUGUACAGAUCAGUUAUAUUUGAUGUGAGGCAUUACUGUUGCAUACAGCAUAAGAUUGAGGGAGAAGAGAGGUGGGGAGAGAAAGCGAGGGGAGAGAGGGAGGUAGUAAAUUUUCAUUCUCUUACACAGUGUAUGUGCAAGGUUUUUGAGUCAGCAUCAGGUGGGUAGGUUCUCUUUCUAUUCAUUUAUUAGUUUUCCUUGGCAGUGAAAGAGGUUGUGGGGUCCAGGGUCUGGUUGGUUACUUUCAGUUGACUGCAGUGAGUUUUGUUUGUGUGAGUGAUGGGGAGGGGUUGUCGGGUCAAGUUAGCCUUAUUGAUUCAUAUGCUGUCGGUGUGUUCGUAUUGUUGCCUUAUUGAGCCAUACCAGGGUAAAGGCAUCCUCUUUUAUUGGUUCCCGUGCUAGUUCAGUUUGUUUGUUGGUUAGCUUUCCUAGUAGGGCUAUUUCCCAGUUUGGCACCAGUGGUCCAUGUUCACUCCUGGCACAGUGUCUAGCUAUGAUGUUCCUGGCUGCUGAGAGUAGGUGGCUUAUGACCUCUUUGUAGUGUGAGUGUGUGUUUUAGUCUUGGAAAAUAUUCAAUAAGGCCAGUUCUUGGGUGGCUUCUAAGACCUGUAUAGUUACUUUGCAUAUUUCUUGUAGGAAUGAUGUCCCAAAGGGUUGGAUUUUGGGACAGUCCCAUCACAUGUGGAAGUAUGUGCCUGUAGAGGUGCAACCUCUCCUGCAUUUUGGCAAGGUUCCUGGAUGUAUCAUUGCCAGUUACCAUGGUGUUAGGUACCAUUAGAGAUAGGUUUCAAGGUGAGUUCUCUUCUUUUGGUUGAGAUGGGUUUAAAGGGUGGUUUUGACCACAGUUUAGUCCAUUGGUUUAUUUUGUAACCUGUCCCAUGCUCCCAUUGUCUUUUUGAUUGAGAUGAAGGGGUUUGUGGGAUUUGUGGGAUCUGAAAUAGAAUUUUGUAUAUUGGGAUACUAUCCCCUUGCCAUGUCCCAUUGCUGUCAGGAGAAGGUUUUUGAAGGUGGUCAAGGGCCUACUGGCUGCUGCUUUUACUCUUUUACUGCUGGGGUGUUUAAGAAGGUGUGUAAUUGGUGGUGUGUUAGCCAGGGUGUUUGGGUGUCCCCUAGUUUGCCUUGUAUUUCUUGUGUCAGUAUGGUUUUGUUAUAUUUGUAGAAAUCUGCUAGGUGGUGUAAGCCUUUGGCUUGCCAACUUUUUAUUUGGAAGUUUUGGGCUACGUGAUGGAAUAGUGGAUGGUGGGCCAGGGGGGUUAAUGGGGAUGCAGUUGGGGACAGUUUUCCUACUUUUUCCUUCUAUGCUUUAAGCAUGGGCUGUGUGAAGCUGUUUAGUGUUGUGGGGAUUUUCCUUAGUUUGUUUUGAUGGAAUGGGUAUGCUGUGGCAGGGAUGUUCUUUUUUAACCAGGCCUUUGGUUGAUUUGAUUGACUUCCUAUGCCCUUUUAAAAUGUGGGGUUUUUUGUUGUGGUGUGUUUGUGUUGCUGUUACUUUUAUUUGAAUUAUGUAUUUUGUGGCUUUAUAUUUUCAUUUUAUUCUGUGAACCGCUCUGAGACCUGUGGGUAUAGGGCGGUAUAUAAAUCAAAAAUUCAAUCAAUCAAUCAAUAAAUUUUAGGUUUUUUCUGCCUUUCAUGGAGGGUGAAAUGAAUUUGUUCCAUUUCUUCAAGUCUUUGUUAAUUUCUUGCCAAAGGAGGUUGUAGUUGUGGAAGUAUAGUUUGUUGAGGUUUCUGGUUAUUUGUGCCCCUAUCUGAAUUUGGUGCAGCAAAGUUUUAUCUUCGUGAUGUUGGGAAAUACUUUUUGAAUAUGGGGGGGGGGGCGUGUUGUUGAAACACAUAGUCUCAGAUUUCACAAAGAUUCACCUCUAGGUCCAACACCAUUGCGAAUGUAUUGAGUUAUUUGGUUAGGGCAGUGGUUUUCAACCAGUUUCCUGUGGCACCCUGGGGUGCCUCGAAUGAUGAUCAGGGGUACCACAGGCAACACUGGCCCCUGUCCUUUUUUCCUUCCCUCCCUUCUCUGAUUCCCUCUCAUGUCUCUGCCUCCCAAAGGCUUGUGCAGCUGUUUAUUGCAGCAGCCCUGGCUAUAAGCUUUGCAGGUGAAUGGUGCCUCUGGGAGGCACCUCUCUUUGGGACGGUGCAGCUCAGAGACCAGGGGCAGCAGCAGCAGCUGCCUGGAGGACUCCCAAGGAGAGGGGAGAGGAGAGGAGACUGAGGCAACAAUCCACAAGGGAGGGUGUUCAAAAAAGAAUGAGAGGCUGCCAAUUCUGCAAGCAAGGGGGACAUAACUGGGCUCCUGAGCCCCACAGGGGUGCUACAGAAAGAAUGUACUUGGUUAAGGGAGCCAUGGACUCAAAAAGUUUGAAAACCUCUGAGUUAGAGUGAUUGCUGUCUUUAUGGAGUCUGGUGUUGUGACCAUCUGGUCAUCUGCGAGGAGCCCUAGUUUAUAGGUUUUGUCUUUGACUGAUAGUUAAGGUUUUUUGCUUUGUUUUUCUGCCCAAGCAGAUAUUGUUGGACUCAUCUCCUAUCAGCCCCAGCCAUAAUGGCAAAUUUCAGCUUCCCUUUGAUUCAAGAAAUCUGCCACUGAUGGGUGACUAUCCAGCCUCUUCAGAACUUCUCAAAGUAUAAUAUGUCCCAG